Molecule: long non-coding RNA, 1440 nt
Organism: Dermochelys coriacea (leatherback sea turtle)
Lineage: Eukaryota; Metazoa; Chordata; Testudines; Dermochelyidae
Exons: 2
Source: RefSeq, a predicted model, not a curated record
UGCUAAGCAGAGUAAGUUAGUUAGUAGUUCCCCAAUUAACAUCUGAAGUGGUCUGUGACGCUGUAAGACAGAGAGCCUCAGGGUUACCAAGACCUGCUUUGGGGGACAUUUGACAGACCAAGUACUUGAGAGGGGAAGAGAAUAGAGGAAAAGAAGUCUUCAUCUAGGACUGGUAGCUAUACCUGCUUUGUUUGCCAAUCAGGAUACUGUGUAAGGCCGACAUAGUUACUGAGGGUUUAUGCUUGGAGAAUUGAAGCUUAUUAGGGAGACAUUUUAUAUAACCUUUUACUGCUUGUGUGAUUCUCUCUCAAAUAAAUUGCCGUGCACUGAGCAAAUUGAAUCCGAAUUUUCAUUGGCACUGGUAACAAUCUGCCUCACUGUGGGCCAUUAAAGAUCUGUUUCAACAAGUAUUCCGGUAACUCACAACUGAUAUGUAUGCAUAUUAAGGAGUUUACCUCAGACCAGGAAGUUAAAGUCAAAUAUUUGGAACAUAAAGAUUAAUUUUAUGCAACACCAAUAAUAGAACAACUGUAUUAUAGUAUGUGGAAUCAUAUCCCUGUCAAGAAAGCAUGUGUGCAUGCAUGGUGGACAUGGGAUAAGAGGCAGGGCAUGUCUCUCUAACAUGAAACAAAAGAACUUAACAAGCAAGACAAAAGUAGUCUCUCUUCCAAGUUACAUGCCCAUUGAUCCAUCACAAAUGGGAUGUGUCCAGAGUGACACAAAACCGAGGCAAGUUAAAAAUACUGGCACAAGAAGAUUACAGAGAUACCAAAGCAUAAAGAAGCCAAAUGAUGCAUUGGCCGAAGUCUGGAGAUCCAGUAUAUAAUUGUAUAUGAAUGUAUGUAAGACGGACCAGGUUCACAGAUUUCUUCUGAUGAUGAACAGGACUUCUCUGUCCAAUAAGUCCCAGAGGAUUUGGUUGAGUAAACUCUAAGCCCCUUCAAAGCUACCAUCCCAUUAGCUCUCUAGGCUUAUUUAAUGUAGUUAUAGAUGAGGGGAGAGCUGACGUCUUUAUGCACAUGGACCUUGACAGGGAAGCACCAGGCCAUUCCUAGACUCACUUUCUUCAAAUUGAGGAGUUCUAGGUCAACCUCAGGUGCCUGUGAGCAAGAGGAGACAUUUGGAACUAUGUCUGGAAACUACGUUUCCCCACGCUGGGAAAAACAGAAAAUCUCUUGGAAAUCUACCGUCUUUAACAUGCUGGCUGCCCAAGUUCCCCAAACUCUGUGCUGUAGGGGAGAGCAAGUGAAAAAAGAAAAAAUAUGAAGCAAUAGUUCAGACAAUAAAGUAGCAAAAAGUCAGUCACUGAGGUCUUCCUGCAGCAAGGCGUAGCCACAUGGAAAGUUUUAUUUUUAAACUUCAGCCACUGUUGGAAUAUCUCUGCAGAAAGGCAUCUGUUAUUUUUUUUUUAAAGUUGGGGGAGGGAAAUCCCUCUCUCCA